This 347-nucleotide ribosomal RNA is filed under the name uncultured eukaryote. Its description in RNAcentral is "SSU rRNA". It matches the Rfam family "Eukaryotic small subunit ribosomal RNA", at positions 594 to 945 of the family's 1831-position model. The record is from RNAcentral.
AUAGCGUAUAUUAAAGUUGUUGCAGUUAAAAAGCUCGUAGUUGAACUUCAGACCUGGCUGGACGGUCUGCCUCACGGUUUGUACUGUCCGGCUGGGCCUUACCUCUUGGUGAGCCGGCGUGCCCUUCACUGUGGUGCGUCGGGGAACCAGGACUUUUACCUUGAGAAAAUUAGAGUGUUCAAAGCAGGCUUAUGCUCGAAUACAUUAGCAUGGAAUAAUAAAAUAGGACGUGCGGUUCUAUUUUGUUGGUUUCUAGAGUCGCCGUAAUGAUUAAUAGGGAUAGUUGGGGGCAUUAGUAUUCAGUUGCUAGAGGUGAAAUUCUUGGAUUUACUGAAGACUAACUACUG